RNAcentral lists this ribosomal RNA (253 nucleotides) under uncultured bacterium. Its description in RNAcentral is "partial 16S ribosomal RNA". It matches the Rfam family "Bacterial small subunit ribosomal RNA", at positions 524 to 776 of the family's 1533-position model. RNAcentral also lists the same sequence under 1 other name. The record is from RNAcentral.
UACAGAGGUCCCGAGCGUUGUUCGGAUUCAUUGGGCGUAAAGGGUGCGUAGGCGGCUUUCUAAGUCUGAUGUGAAAUCCUGGGGCUCAACCCUGGAACUGCAUUGGAUACUGGGAGGCUAGAGUACUGGAGAGGAAACUGGAAUUUACGGUGUAGCAGUGAAAUGCGUAGAGAUCGUAAGGAAGACCAGUGGCGAAGGCGAGUUUCUGGACAGUUACUGACGCUGAGGCACGAAGGCCAGGGGAGCAAACGGG